GCGGGCUUAGCUCAGAUGGGAGAGCGUCAGACUGAAGUCUUUCUUUAAAAAGAAAGGAAAGAUUUAGUCACAUAUCUGAAGGUCCUGUGUUCGAUCCACAGAGCUCGCA
RNAcentral lists this transfer RNA (109 nucleotides) under Rasamsonia emersonii. RNAcentral's name for it is "tRNA-Phe". It matches the Rfam family "tRNA". Rfam says of the family: Transfer RNA (tRNA) molecules are approximately 80 nucleotides in length. Their secondary structure includes four short double-helical elements and three loops (D, anti-codon, and T loops). Further hydrogen bonds mediate the characteristic L-shaped molecular structure. tRNAs have two regions of fundamental functional importance: the anti-codon, which is responsible for specific mRNA codon recognition, and the 3' end, to which the tRNAs corresponding amino acid is attached (by aminoacyl-tRNA synthetases). tRNAs cope with the degeneracy of the genetic code in two manners: having more than one tRNA (with a specific anti-codon) for a particular amino acid; and 'wobble' base-pairing, i.e. permitting non-standard base-pairing at the 3rd anti-codon position. The record is from RNAcentral. RNAcentral also lists the same sequence under 1 other name. Lineage: Eukaryota; Fungi; Ascomycota; Eurotiomycetes; Eurotiales; Trichocomaceae.